UUGCUCUGGAUUAGCGGCGGACGGGUGAGUAAUGCCUAGGAAUCUGCCUGGUAGUGGGGGACAACGUUUCGAAAGGAACGCUAAUACCGCAUACGUCCUACGGGAGAAAGCAGGGGACCUUCGGGCCUUGCGCUAUCAGAUGAGCCUAGGUCGGAUUAGCUAGUUGGUGAGGUAAUGGCUCACCAAGGCGACGAUCCGUAACUGGUCUGAGAGGAUGAUCAGUCACACUGGAACUGAGACACGGUCCAGACUCCUACGGGAGGCAGCAGUGGGGAAUAUUGGACAAUGGGCGAAAGCCUGAUCCAGCCAUGCCGCGUGUGUGAAGAAGGUCUUCGGAUUGUAAAGCACUUUAAGUUGGGAGGAAGGGCAGUAAAUUAAUACUUUGCUGUUUUGACGUUACCGACAGAAUAAGCACCGGCUAACUCUGUGCCAGCAGCCGCGGUAAUACAGAGGGUGCAAGCGUUAAUCGGAAUUACUGGGCGUAAAGCGCGCGUAGGUGGUUUGUUAAGUUGGAUGUGAAAUCCCCGGGCUCAACCUGGGAACUGCAUCCAAAACUGGCAAGCUAGAGUAUGGUAGAGGGUGGUGGAAUUUCCUGUGUAGCGGUGAAAUGCGUAGAUAUA
RNAcentral lists this ribosomal RNA (620 nucleotides) under Pseudomonas sp. EECC-195. Its description in RNAcentral is "bacterial SSU rRNA". It matches the Rfam family "Bacterial small subunit ribosomal RNA", at positions 82 to 698 of the family's 1533-position model. Lineage: Bacteria; Pseudomonadati; Pseudomonadota; Gammaproteobacteria; Pseudomonadales; Pseudomonadaceae. The record is from RNAcentral.